Molecule: ribosomal RNA, 2905 nt
Filed under: Salmonella enterica subsp. enterica serovar Typhimurium
Lineage: Bacteria; Pseudomonadati; Pseudomonadota; Gammaproteobacteria; Enterobacterales; Enterobacteriaceae
Description: bacterial LSU rRNA
Rfam family: Bacterial large subunit ribosomal RNA
Source: RNAcentral
UUAAGCGACUAAGCGUACACGGUGGAUGCCCUGGCAGUCAGAGGCGAUGAAGGACGUGCUAAUCUGCGAUAAGCGCCGGUAAGGUGAUAUGAACCGUUAUAACCGGCGAUUUCCGAAUGGGGAAACCCAGUGUGAUUCGUCACACUAUCAUUAACUGAAUCCAUAGGUUAAUGAGGCGAACCGGGGGAACUGAAACAUCUAAGUACCCCGAGGAAAAGAAAUCAACCGAGAUUCCCCCAGUAGCGGCGAGCGAACGGGGAGGAGCCCAGAGCCUGAAUCAGCAUGUGUGUUAGUGGAAGCGUCUGGAAAGGCGCGCGAUACAGGGUGACAGCCCCGUACACAAAAGCGCAUGUGCUGUGAGCUCGAUGAGUAGGGCGGGACACGUGGUAUCCUGUCUGAAUAUGGGGGGACCAUCCUCCAAGGCUAAAUACUCCUGACUGACCGAUAGUGAACCAGUACCGUGAGGGAAAGGCGAAAAGAACCCCGGCGAGGGGAGUGAAAAAGAACCUGAAACCGUGUACGUACAAGCAGUGGGAGCACAGGUUUACCUGUGUGACUGCGUACCUUUUGUAUAAUGGGUCAGCGACUUAUAUUCUGUAGCAAGGUUAACCGUAUAGGGGAGCCGUAGGGAAACCGAGUCUUAACCGGGCGUUAAGUUGCAGGGUAUAGACCCGAAACCCGGUGAUCUAGCCAUGGGCAGGUUGAAGGUUGGGUAACACUAACUGGAGGACCGAACCGACUAAUGUUGAAAAAUUAGCGGAUGACCUGUGGCUGGGGGUGAAAGGCCAAUCAAACCGGGAGAUAGCUGGUUCUCCCCGAAAGCUAUUUAGGUAGCGCCUCGUGAAUUCAUCUCCGGGGGUAGAGCACUGUUUCGGCUAGGGGGCCAUCCCGGCUUACCAACCCGAUGCAAACUGCGAAUACCGGAGAAUGUUAUCACGGGAGACACACGGCGGGUGCUAACGUCCGUCGUGAAGAGGGAAACAACCCAGACCGCCAGCUAAGGUCCCAAAGUCAUGGUUAAGUGGGAAACGAUGUGGGAAGGCCCAGACAGCCAGGAUGUUGGCUUAGAAGCAGCCAUCAUUUAAAGAAAGCGUAAUAGCUCACUGGUCGAGUCGGCCUGCGCGGAAGAUGUAACGGGGCUAAACCAUGCACCGAAGCUGCGGCAGCGACACUGUGUGUUGUUGGGUAGGGGAGCGUUCUGUAAGCCUGUGAAGGUGGCCUGUGAGGGUUGCUGGAGGUAUCAGAAGUGCGAAUGCUGACAUAAGUAACGAUAAAGCGGGUGAAAAGCCCGCUCGCCGGAAGACCAAGGGUUCCUGUCCAACGUUAAUCGGGGCAGGGUGAGUCGACCCCUAAGGCGAGGCCGAAAGGCGUAGUCGAUGGGAAACGGGUUAAUAUUCCCGUACUUGGUGUUACUGCGAAGGGGGGACGGAGAAGGCUAUGUUGGCCGGGCGACGGUUGUCCCGGUUUAAGCGUGUAGGUGUGUGUUCCAGGUAAAUCCGGUUCACUUUAACACUGAGGCGUGACGACGAGGCACUACGGUGCUGAAGCAACAAAUGCCCUGCUUCCAGGAAAAGCCUCUAAGCAUCAGGUAACAUCAAAUCGUACCCCAAACCGACACAGGUGGUCAGGUAGAGAAUACCAAGGCGCUUGAGAGAACUCGGGUGAAGGAACUAGGCAAAAUGGUGCCGUAACUUCGGGAGAAGGCACGCUGACACGUAGGUGAAGUGAUUUACUCAUGGAGCUGAAGUCAGUCGAAGAUACCAGCUGGCUGCAACUGUUUAUUAAAAACACAGCACUGUGCAAACACGAAAGUGGACGUAUACGGUGUGACGCCUGCCCGGUGCCGGAAGGUUAAUUGAUGGGGUCAGCGCAAGCGAAGCUCCUGAUCGAAGCCCCGGUAAACGGCGGCCGUAACUAUAACGGUCCUAAGGUAGCGAAAUUCCUUGUCGGGUAAGUUCCGACCUGCACGAAUGGCGUAAUGAUGGCCAGGCUGUCUCCACCCGAGACUCAGUGAAAUUGAACUCGCUGUGAAGAUGCAGUGUACCCGCGGCAAGACGGAAAGACCCCGUGAACCUUUACUAUAGCUUGACACUGAACAUUGAGCCUUGAUGUGUAGGAUAGGUGGGAGGCUUUGAAGUGUGGACGCCAGUCUGCAUGGAGCCGACCUUGAAAUACCACCCUUUAAUGUUUGAUGUUCUAACGUGGACCCGUAAUCCGGGUUGCGGACAGUGUCUGGUGGGUAGUUUGACUGGGGCGGUCUCCUCCUAAAGAGUAACGGAGGAGCACGAAGGUUGGCUAAUCCUGGUCGGACAUCAGGAGGUUAGUGCAAUGGCAUAAGCCAGCUUGACUGCGAGCGUGACGGCGCGAGCAGGUGCGAAAGCAGGUCAUAGUGAUCCGGUGGUUCUGAAUGGAAGGGCCAUCGCUCAACGGAUAAAAGGUACUCCGGGGAUAACAGGCUGAUACCGCCCAAGAGUUCAUAUCGACGGCGGUGUUUGGCACCUCGAUGUCGGCUCAUCACAUCCUGGGGCUGAAGUAGGUCCCAAGGGUAUGGCUGUUCGCCAUUUAAAGUGGUACGCGAGCUGGGUUUAGAACGUCGUGAGACAGUUCGGUCCCUAUCUGCCGUGGGCGCUGGAGAACUGAGGGGGGCUGCUCCUAGUACGAGAGGACCGGAGUGGACGCAUCACUGGUGUUCGGGUUGUCAUGCCAAUGGCACUGCCCGGUAGCUAAAUGCGGAAGAGAUAAGUGCUGAAAGCAUCUAAGCACGAAACUUGCCCCGAGAUGAGUUCUCCCUGAGACUUAGAGUCUCCUGAAGGAACGUUGAAGACGACGACGUUGAUAGGCCGGGUGUGUAAGCGCAGCGAUGCGUUGAGCUAACCGGUACUAAUGAACCGUGAGGCUUAACCUU